AGAAGCCAUUGUGAAGAAACUCGCCACCGCCAAACCCAAAAAGAGAUGCAAAGAACCAGGAAACAAACCGAAAAGAUAACGCUACAAAUAACCAGCACGACGACCCAGAGAACAAACCAAACAAACAAAGAAGCAUAACAACGACACCAUCUCCACUUGAAUCAUAUGAAAUCAGAGAAAGGGGACAAAACCCCACUGUUGAAGGAUCCGAAGCUCCGAUAUCAGUGCAAGAUAGAAGACAAUCGGAUCUGAGACUUCGAACCUCUCCUAAUCCGAUAGCAUCAGCAAAACGUAGACUUUGACUAUCAAGAGAAGAAGACCAGAUGAUCUACAUCUAACAACAAAUAAAAAAAUAAAAAGAAAGAGAGGAGGAGAG
Molecule: long non-coding RNA, 376 nt
Filed under: Brassica napus (rape)
Lineage: Eukaryota; Viridiplantae; Streptophyta; Magnoliopsida; Brassicales; Brassicaceae
Description: long non-coding RNA (BNAP_LNC025801)
Source: RNAcentral